RNAcentral lists this ribosomal RNA (490 nucleotides) under Centropages violaceus. Its description in RNAcentral is "bacterial SSU rRNA". It matches the Rfam family "Eukaryotic small subunit ribosomal RNA", at positions 69 to 558 of the family's 1831-position model. Lineage: Eukaryota; Metazoa; Arthropoda; Copepoda; Calanoida; Centropagidae. The record is from RNAcentral.
GCCUCACUAAGGUGAAACCGCGAAUGGCUCAUUAAAUCACACCUAAUCUACUGGAUUGUUAAACAGUUACUUGGAUAACUGAGGUAAUUCUUGAGCUAAUACAUGCGAAAAACCCCGACUUUACGAAGGGGUGCUUUUAUUAGAUCAAAACCAAACAUCGUAAGAUGUAAAUUUGGUGACUCUGGAUAACUUUGGCUGAUCGCAUUGCCUUGUGCAGGCGACAUUUCCUUCGAAGGUGUGCCCUAUCAACUGUCGACUGUGAUAUAGACGCUCACAGUGGUUUUGACGGGUAACGGGGAAUCAGGGUUCGAUUCCGGAGAGGGAGCCUUAAAAACGGCUACCACAUCCAAGGAAGGCAGCAGGCACGCAAAUUACCCAAUGAACGCAGUUCGAGGUAGUGACGAAAAAUAACAAUACCAGACUCUUCCGAGGCCUGGUAAUUGGAAUGAGUACACUUUAAAACCGUUCCCGAGGAUCCAUUGGAGGGCAA